CCUACGGGAGGCUGCAGUGAGGAAUAUUGGUCAAUGGACGAGAGUCUGAACCAGCCAAGUAGCGUGAAGGAUGACUGCCCUAUGGGUUGUAAACUUCUUUUAUAAAGGAAUAAAACGAGGCACGUGUGCCUUUUUGCAUGUACUUUAUGAAUAAGGAUCGGCUAACUCCGUGCCAGCAGCCGCGGUAAUACGGAGGAUCCGAGCGUUAUCCGGAUUUAUUGGGUUUAAAGGGAGCGUAGACGGGUUGUUAAGUCAGUUGUGAAAGUUUGCGGCUCAACCGUAAAAUUGCAAUUGAUACUGGCAGUCGUGAGUACAGUUGAGGUAGGCGGAAUUCGUGGUGUAGCGGUGAAAUGCUUAGAUAUCACGAAGAACCCCGAUUGCGAAGGCAGCUUACUAAACUGUGACUGACAUUGAUGCUCGAAAGUGUGGGUAUCAAACAGGAUUAGAUACCCCUGUAGUC
RNAcentral lists this ribosomal RNA (460 nucleotides) under uncultured bacterium. RNAcentral's name for it is "partial 16S ribosomal RNA". It matches the Rfam family "Bacterial small subunit ribosomal RNA", at positions 338 to 795 of the family's 1533-position model. The record is from RNAcentral.